Molecule: small RNA, 214 nt
Filed under: Thalassobacillus devorans
Lineage: Bacteria; Bacillati; Bacillota; Bacilli; Caryophanales; Bacillaceae
Description: SR1 sRNA
Rfam family: SR1 sRNA
Source: RNAcentral
GACCAUAACCUGAAAACGAUUACAAAUUACUUGUAAAGGAGCUGGAUAUUCAGAUGGGUACAAUUGUAUGUCAAGAUUGCCAGAAGAUCAUUGAGCAUUAUGAAGAUGAGAAGGUUUCCACUCUUUAUAGUACUUGUCCGUCGUGCAACCCGAAAAAGAAAUAGUCAUUAUAUGCACAUACGAAAACCCCACCGGCCAUUCCGGUGGGGUUUAA